This 619-nucleotide long non-coding RNA is filed under the name Monodelphis domestica (gray short-tailed opossum). RNAcentral describes it as "lncRNA (ENSMODG00000046110.1)". Lineage: Eukaryota; Metazoa; Chordata; Mammalia; Didelphimorphia; Didelphidae. The record is from RNAcentral.
UUCAUGCACAAGAGAAGAGCCAUGAUGUCAUUGAUCCUCUUUGGAAAUGAAGGACAAAUAACAACAAAGCCUGAUCUAUGUCUCACAGGAAGAGGGGGAUUCUGUAAGAUAAAUAGAACUACAAAGAGAAUACAACUCUCAAGGAAAAACUUUGGGGAUUAAACCACCUGGAACUGGGAAAUUGAUAUUUCCUCCACCUUCAUAUGGAACCAUGAGCCCAGUGAAAAAUUAGAAAUAAUGCUUUGGUGAGAUUAUUUUCAUCUUUUUGAUAUAAAACAGAGAUCUUCAUUGCUGUUUGCAAUUACAAAUCUUGUGACUUCUUUCUCAAGGGUAACAAUUCAAACCUUUGCCAAACUUUAAGCCAUAUAAUUAUAUUUUACUCUUACAGCUUCAAAUCCACAUGCUCUGUUUCACUCCUGUCCUGUCUUAUGUAAAGUGAAUCCACAAAGAUAUCAAUGGAUCUGAGAGAUUCAAAGGGUUCCUUUUCUUUGCCUAUUUAAAGACUCCUUGUUAUUAAAAAAAAAGUAGCAUUCUCUUAAUAACAGAUGUCUGAUAUCUUUCCUCAAUAAUAUACUGCAAUUAACAAUGCAAAUGUGAAAUAAAAUCACAUUAUUUAUCA